This 550-nucleotide ribosomal RNA is filed under the name uncultured bacterium. Its description in RNAcentral is "bacterial SSU rRNA". It matches the Rfam family "Bacterial small subunit ribosomal RNA", at positions 355 to 896 of the family's 1533-position model. The record is from RNAcentral.
UGGGGAAUCUUCCGCAAUGGGCGAAAGCCUGACGGAGCAACGCCGCGUGAGUGAAGAAGGGUUUCGGCUCGUAAAGCUCUGUUGUCGGGGACGAAUGUGCAGUAUUUGAAUAAAGUACUGUAAUGACGGUACCUGACGAGGAAGCCACGGCUAACUACGUGCCAGCAGCCGCGGUAAUACGUAGGUGGCAAGCGUUGUCCGGAAUUAUUGGGCGUAAAGGGCGUGUAGGCGGCCAGACAAGUCUGUCUUAAAAGUGCGGGGCUCAACCCCGUGAUGGGAUGGAAACUGUCGGGCUAGAGUGUCGGAGAGGAAAGCGGAAUUCCUAGUGUAGCGGUGAAAUGCGUAGAUAUUAGGAGGAACACCAGUGGCGAAAGCGGCUUUCUGGACGACAACUGACGCUGAGGCGCGAAAGCCAGGGGAGCAAACGGGAUUAGAUACCCCGGUAGUCCUGGCCGUAAACGAUGGGUACUAGGUGUAGGAGGUAUCGACCCCUUCUGUGCCGGAGUUAACGCAAUAAGUAUCCCGCCUGGGGAGUACGGCCGCAAGGCUG